ACGAUCUCAUUUGCGUUUUCUCUUCCGGCGAGGAUUCGUCGAAGCUAAGGAAGGAGAAACCGGAGGCCGUGGACGGCGACAAAUUCGGCGGCCAGAUCGUACGGUGUCCUGAAACGCCACCUGGCUACACCGUAUCGCUUGCCAUCUCGAGAUGGACGAUGGAUGAUCACCUUGCCGCUGGUCCCACUCACCAGUGGGAUUGGCUGGUUUACGACGCCGUGAUCGACCACGAUAACUCCACGGUGGUGUUCGUCAAGGGACUUAAUCUAAAGCCGGGGAAAGUUGCUGACGUGUCGAGAUACGAGUGCGUGUACGGCUGGGAUUUCGCGAAACACAAUCGGUUGAUCAGAUCAGACGUGAUCUCUGCGGCGCAGGAGAUCGUACGGUGCAGAACACCGUUAACAGUGUUAAACGGCCCAAAAUCAGCCCAUGGGCCGGUUAAAGUUUCGGUUCGAAUCAAAGGAGGAACCGGUAUGCUUCCAUCGAUCGCUCAACCGGAUCGGAUCGUUCACCCACCGCGACGGAAACCGUUCGAGAUGUGCGUUUGCACCAUGACGCGAAACGCAGCCGCGGUUCUGAGAGAGUGGGUGAUGUACCACGCCGGAAUCGGCGUUCAGCGGUGGUUUAUCUACGAUAACAACAGCGACGACGACAUCAUCGCUGAGAUAAAAUAUCUCGAGCGACGCGGUUACAACGUCUCACGACAUUUCUGGCCGUGGAUCAAGACUCAGGAAGCCGGAUUCUCGAAUUGCGCGAUCCGCGCGAGAAACGAUUGCGAUUGGAUCGCGUUCAUCGACGUCGACGAGUUCUACUACAUCCGCUCCGGUGAAAGCCUAACAAGCAUCAUCAGAAACUAUACUGCCUCUGCCGAGAUCGGAGAAAUCAGAACGCCGUGCCACAGUUUCGGACCGUCGGGGUUGAGAAACCGGCCUCGAGGUGGAGUCACGGAAGGAUACACUUGCCGUGUGAUUUUACCGGAGAGGCACAAGAGCAUACUCAAGCCGGAGUCGAUGAACGCGACGCUGAUCAACGUGGUGCAUCAUUUCCACCUGAAAGACGGGUUCACGUUUGCUGACGUGGAUAAGGAGGUUAUGGUGAUUAAUCACUAUAAAUAUCAGGUGUGGGAAGUUUUCAAGGAGAAGUUUUAUAGGAGAGUCGCGACUUACGUGGCGGAUUGGCAAAACGAUGAGAAUGUCGGGUCGAGAGAUCGGGCGCCCGGUUUGGGAACCCGACCCGUUGAGCCGCCUGAUUGGGCGGAGAGAUUCUGCGAGGUUAAUGAUACGGGGCUUAGAGAUCAGGUGUUGGAGAAAUUUAAAGACAAUAAAUUACAGCGUUUGAUAUGGGAAAAGGAGGAAGACGAAGGCUCACGACAGGCCCAUAAUAGGAUAGAUUGAAAGAUUAAACAUCAGCUUAGUAAAGCUCAUUGGUCAUCAUUUUUGGAAACUUUUUUCUUUCUGUAACUAACUUUUUGUGGAAGAUAUAUGUGACAAUGCCAGAUUUUUUUUUCUCUGUAAUUUUUGUCUUAGUGAAGUAAAAUAAAGAACUUCCAAAAAUUUCUAAAUCAUGAAACUCUGCUUUGUGAUUUUGCAUAGGUAGAUUUAACUACACAACAACAUACACCACGUAGUUAUCUUUCUAUGGUGAAUUUUUGGUAUUGAGUUGCUCGAGGUUUGGGUCAACAUCAAUCCAAGUUUCUGUUCCCUAACUUCCUAUGCAAGAAAACCCUAAUCAAAGGCUAAGAAGCAAAACAGAGGAACGGCCUAUCAAGAUAGGUUGCAGAGUUACACUAUUGAGGAAGUUGGCGGUGCAAACAGUCAUCUCUCAUCUAUGGAAGCAAAGGAACAAUUUGGUGCAUAAUCAGUCAACUAUACCGAUUUCUACAGUGUUCUACAGUAUUGACAAAGAGCUAAGAAACAUCAUUUCAGCGAGGAGAGUUAGAAAGAGUUUCAGUGCCUUCAUGGUGAUGUGGUUGAGAUAGGUUCUCGUAGGAUAUAUUUUCAGUGCUCCAUCUUGUUUUUUGUUAUUUUUUGCCAAGAUAGUUCAAAAUCUAAGAUCAUCUCUUGUAGAAUCUUUUAUUCAUCUAUAUGAUAUUUACAAUUUAGCAAAAAAAAAAAAGUUUCAGAGAGAGGAUAUUUCGAAAUUACUUGCAUCUUCACAAAGUGUUAUUUCCUUUAGACAUAUUACGUUUGUGUUUCUUCUUGAAAUCUAUAGUCUUUGACAUUAAACAUCCGAAAAAUCUAUUUAUACAUUUGGUGAUAACAUCUUUUCUUAUGUUACUAAUUUGGUUACAUAUGCUUGUUGUAGACUGAUAAAAUAAGCGAUCAGAGUCAUUAUUCCACUAAUGACACAUUUAAGGUUUUAAAACAAAGUUUGACUUGUUAAAAAAAUUUUGUUUUGACAAAUAGUAUAUCAUUACUGGCACCUGUACAUCGAAUGUCGUCAUGAUGGCAACGUAAACUUUGACACUGAUCUAACAAGAGUUUGGGUCGUUUGGAUUAGGGCCAUUUCAUAUAAUGUUUACUUAUUUUACGGUUAAAAAAAUCUAAAAUCUUCACACAAAAAGUUCUAUAUAAACCAACUUUCAAGAACUCAUUUUCACAACAAAAAAAACAUUCGAGUCUUAUCUCAAAUUCAAGCUCAGCUAAUACAAGCAUCGGACAAACAUGAUGAGAAAGAUCUUUGUUCAGAUCACUGUGGCUUGUCUUCUGUUGGCCAUUAUGGUCUCGGCCCAGGAUCACGAUGAUCAUGACCACCACGAAGGCGAUGGCCACGAUGACCACGACCACGCACCUGGUUCUUCCUCCAACAAAACAAACUCCGCCGUCAUUGUUGCCGCAGAUAUGUUUACCGGCUUGGUUGCGUCCACCGUUGCCCUGGUCGUUGGUUUCAUCUACUGAGAUCGUAACUCUUUAUCUCGGUUUCUAAUGUUUGUGUGUUGUGAAUCCUUCUUUUCAUCUUCUUUUGUUGUUUGUCACACUUGUCGCCCUUCUCUAAAAUUUGCUCAAUCUUUCCUUUGUGUUGAAAGUAUUAUAAUAAAAAAAUGUCUGGUGACAUUUACGUUCGUAAAAAAAAAAAGAUGGUUCUGGAACGUGAAAUGAGAGAAGAAAAGCUAAUUUUGUGACAUACUUGAACAAGAGCCGAAUAGAAGUAAAAGUGCUGCAGCUGUUACGCGAAUGUAUUACAUGCUGUAGUACAUAUAUAUAUUGACGUGGACCUUCCAAGGCGGAGAGAGUUGAAGGUGGAGUAGGGAACGGCGGCUGGAGCAGCUGGAUAAGUCAUUUUCGUGACGGAUGUGAGAAAGUAAAACGAUCGGAAAACUGAGAAAGAAAAAUUCGAGACAAGAUGGAGCUUUUACCUCGAGGGAUUCUAUAUAUAUGAGAGCUCUAAAGGCGUUAGAGGAGAAACUAAGCGUUUGGUAGGCCCAAAACGUGCGUAGAGCCUUAAAGAUCGACCAUAAUAGCUGAUUGCCGGAAGGGGAAUCGCAAGCGACAAAGGAGAUGGUGAAGAUGGUGGCUUCUCUAAUCUUCUUAGCUUUGUCCGUAUCACCACUUUGGGCAGAUACAAAGCGUAAUAAACAUAAAAUCAAUAAGUCCAAAGCCCACUUUUUGUCAAAGUCCAUUCGUUACCCAUCAGUUAAAAAGAAAGAGGUGGGAUCCACAGUAUUAUAUUAGUUUCCAACCUUUAUAAUAUAUAUUAGUUUCGACCAUCAAUGUACAAAGUAUCCUUUUGUGCAAUGGUAUAGUUGUGGAUACUUAUAUCUCAAUAACCCGGGUUCGAGCCACAUAUUUGAUAAUUUUUCACACUUUUAAAAAGUGAGACCCACAAAGGAGAAGAUAAACUCUCCUAUUAUGUAAUAGAUUUGUCUGAAACUCACGUCAAAGAAAGUGAAGUAAAAGAAAUACAAACCGUAGACGAAAGUAAAUUCGUUUACUUAAAAAAGCAAUUAAAUUGUUCGGAGACCAUUAAGUUUUACUGAGUCGUCUUUUUUCUCGUUCUCCAAGUUUGUGUCUUCCCUUCAUAUUCUUCAGACUAACAUACCUUAUUUUCGUUUUUUCUUAAAUCGAAGAAAUAAAAAGAAACAAAAAUUCUAUUCAUCAUUCUCCUGGGCCUAACAAGAAGCGACCUUACUAUUUAUGUUCUCUGUUGCCGGAAAAAAAAAAGAAACAUAGAACAGAGUUUCUUCUACAAUUACGUAACGGCCAGCGCCGGCGAUAACAGCGGCGUAGGAGAUGAAAAUUCGUAGGAAGCUCGGUGGUGUAUGCGGGAGCGACGUCGUUGUCUCGUGGAGGUUGUUUUUCUGGUUCGUCGUGCUGUUUGUCUUCUCCUUCGUCCUCUUCUCCACCAUGUUCGUCUUCAAAGGUAUAUUUAUUAUUUGAACAUUUCUUUUUAUCAGAAACUGAAAUUAAAUAUCGCAGGGAAGUUUCGUCCCGUGGUACGUUCGGUGAGAAGCUUCUCAACGGCCAGGGCGGUUAUCGGAGACUCUGCAACGCUAUCUCCCGCGGUUUCGAUUCGCGAAGCGGUGAAACUACCUGAGCAGACACUUGUUUUCCUAAAAUACCCUCAGUCUCUUCGGUUAUUUACCAAAGACGAUCUCAUUUGCGUUUUCUCUUCCGGCGAGGAUUCGUCGAAGCUAAGGAAGGAGAAACCGGAGGCCGUGGACGGCGACAAAUUCGGCGGCCAGAUCGUACGGUGUCCUGAAACGCCACCUGGCUACACCGUAUCGCUUGCCAUCUCGAGAUGGACGAUGGAUGAUCACCUUGCCGCUGGUCCCACUCACCAGUGGGAUUGGCUGGUUUACGACGCCGUGAUCGACCACGAUAACUCCACGGUGGUGUUCGUCAAGGGACUUAAUCUAAAGCCGGGGAAAGUUGCUGACGUG
Molecule: long non-coding RNA, 4879 nt
Filed under: Brassica napus (rape)
Lineage: Eukaryota; Viridiplantae; Streptophyta; Magnoliopsida; Brassicales; Brassicaceae
Description: long non-coding RNA (BNAP_LNC005535)
Source: RNAcentral